Molecule: ribosomal RNA, 793 nt
Filed under: uncultured archaeon
Lineage: Archaea
Description: bacterial SSU rRNA
Rfam family: Archaeal small subunit ribosomal RNA
Source: RNAcentral
ACGGCUCAGUAACACGUGGAUAACCUGCCCUCAGGUCUGGCAUAACCCCGGGAAACUGGGGAUAAUUCCGGAUAACGCAUAUAUGCUGGAAUGCUUUAUGCGUCAAAGGUCCUCCGCCUGAGGAUGGGUCUGCGGCCUAUCAGGUAGUAGCGGGUGUAAUGUACCUGCUAGCCGACGACGGGUACGGGUUGUGAGAGCAAGAGCCCGGAGAUGGAUUCUGAGACAUGAAUCCAGGCCCUACGGGGCGCAGCAGGCGCGAAAACUUUACAAUGCGGGAAACCGUGAUAAGGGGACACCGAGUGCCAGCAACAUUUGCUGGCUGUCCAGGUGUGUAAACUACACCUGUUAGCAAGGGCCGGGCAAGACCGGUGCCAGCCGCCGCGGUAACACCGGCGGCCCGAGUGGUGAUCGUUAUUAUUGGGUCUAAAGGGUCCGUAGCCGGUUUAGUCAGUCCUCCGGGAAAUCUGUCAGCUCAACUGAUAGGCUAUCGGGGGAUACUGCUAGACUUGGAACCGGGAGAGGUAAGAGGUACUACAGGGGUAGGAGUGAAAUCUUGUAAUCCCUGUGGGACCACCUGUGGCGAAGGCGUCUUACCAGAACGGGUUCGACGGUGAGGGACGAAAGCUGGGGGCACGAACCGGAUUAGAUACCCGGGUAGUCCCAGCCGUAAACGAUGCUCGCUAGGUGUCAUGCAUGGUGCGACCGUGUAUGGUGCCGUAGGGAAGCCGUGAAGCGAGCCACCUGGGAAGUACGGCCGCAAGGCUGAAACUUAAAGGAAUUGGCGGGGGAGCAC